GAAAUGUUGUCGACUUAAGUUUUGAGUUAAACUGUUCGUUAGGUAGUAUCUAUGAGUUAUGUCGGGGAUAGAAAGUAAACAACAACAAAUAAACAAAUAAAGAAAAAUAGAAAUGAAAAUGAUUGACAAUUAUGAGAAAAAGAUAUAAAAAGUAUGAUAUUGUAAUCGAAUCUUUAAAAACUAAAUUUAAAUACCUUUUUUUUUUAAUUUUAAUUGAAUCCUAAAUAAAUAUAAUUAUUAUUUUUUAUUUCAAAGUAUUUUUUAUACAUUUACGAAAGCUUGAAUAUUUGAACACGUUUAAUAAGUAAUUUAAAUAAGAUCAAUACACAAAAAUUGAUAUUUUGGUGUUAAUAAUUAUUUCACAAACGUAAUUAAUUUACAUCAAAGGUUUUUUUGUUUACUUUUACAAACUAAUGUAUAUUAACCCAGGCUUUGCAGUUGAGGCACGGAUAAAUAAUGAGUCAUCGGUACCCGAAUCUGAUUGGAUAUCAAAAUCUGCAGUAACGAUACAAAAUCGAGGAACAAAUAGAUAUAUGCAAGCACUAGAGAAAAACUGCGUGAUUUUUAAAGAGCUUUUAUCAUCAAUUCCAGGACAAAGGCCAAAAGAUUUCCAUAUAUGUAAGCUUUUAGAAUUUACACAUUAAAAAAAAUAUUUACAUUUUACAUUCACCUGUCCGGCUACUAUUGAAGACAUUAAAAUCUGAUGGUUGUUUGUGUUUUGUGGUUACUGUAAACAUAUUUUAUCAAUAAUAAUAUACAUAAUUUGGCAUUAACACUGUCGCUGGGUUGUUGCCUUGUUGACACAAACCGUAUAUCAGCUGUAAACAAUAUUGAAAAGAACAAUAUAUUAUUACUAGUCUUAUAGAUGUGAACAAAUAUCAUCAGCAUAAACAAAGGUUAAUUAUAAAAUUAAUCCGUUAGUUUUUACUUCGGAAUUGUUUUACAUUUGUCAUAUUGGAGCCAUGUGUAGCUGAUUAUUAUAUUCCGUAGGGUUUUGCUCAUUGUUCAGAGUUGGUGUUAUUUAAACGACACAUAUCCCUUCGACCAGCAUAUUUGGUUUAUUUUAAAGUAAUUGUACAAUAUACAAUACAACAACAAUUUAUUAACGUCUCACCAUCAAUAAUACAGUACAUUCACAAGUUAACCUUUUUUAAAAUAAUUAAUGCCAUUCUAAAAAGAAUUAUGAGAGACAGAUUAAAAGGAACUAGUUUUUACAAAUUUCAAAAGCUAUUAUAAAACAAAAGUUAAAUCAUAAAACAUAUUCACAUCUAUAAUCGGUGUAAAACACGUCUUCUGCGGUCUAAAAUAAGUUUGCAGGUUUUGACACAUUUUGUAUGACAUUAAUAUUGUCACUCGCUAAAAUAAAUGAAAGUUUCAAGGAAUAUGGUGAUAAACUAAAAUUUUCGUUUUCAAAGUUUAAAAUCUUUUACACUUCGUCUCUAAGAUCGUCAUACAACGGACAUUCAGUCAAUACAUGCUCCUCCGUUUCAAUUGUAUCGUCACAAACAAAACAUGUUCUUUGAUCUAUUGGAAGACUCUCGUAGCGUCCUGUCUCCAUCCGUAUUGGGGCAACACCAUAGCGAAACUGAGAGUACGCUCUUCUGUGUGAUGGUAUAAUUAGUUUUAUCUAUAUAGGUAAAGUUCUGUAUAAAAAUCCUGUUUAAAUGUUUUAUAUGUACGUAGUUUGUUACAUGUACCUCCUGGUCCGUUUCGUCUAGUAGUGUCUAAUGAUACAAAUCUUCAUUCCAUUUCUGUUUGAAGUCGGACAGAAGUUUUACAUGUAUAGCAUUGUUAACUUACUGCUUAUCAAUAUCGGUGUCAUUAUUCAAGUUCGCUAUCCCACAUGAUUCGAAUUGACUAUAAAUUCUAAAGUUUGAGUUUUUGCACGCUCGAUGACGUCUGAAAUUCUGCUCUGCCCAAUAGUUUAUUUUCAUACUAUUCUACUUUCAUCCAUAAUCGUGACCGAUUCCAGUAGUUUAUGAUUACCUGCCAUUGAUUCACAAACGGUGGUGUCGAUCCUUAAUCCCCAUUAACUGCAACGGUGUAAGUAUAACACGCUUGUGAUUCACUAUUUUACGGAAUUGAAAAGCCAGUUAUAUUUUAAUAAAGCAAAGACAAACCCGUUAAAACUACCAAAAAACACGUUUGUUUUUAAUGUCAUCAACGGCAAAACUACAAAGCAAAAACAAUUGAACAAUUCCAAACCUCCCCCCCCCUUUACAAAAGUUAGUACUACUAAAGGAAAAUGAUGAAUCAACGGAAAUCAAUAUUACAAUAUUGAAAUAUUUUUUUUUUUUUUAUUUAUUUAAAGGUCACUUUACAGAGGAGCGUCGGAUAGAAUCUAGUAGUCAUGCAAUGUUGCGACGUUACAUGGAUGAGGAGCAUAAGGAUUACCUACAUUUGUACAUGUAACGUGUGACGGAAACAUUAUACUCGUAAGUCAUAAGACAAUAGAACACGAAUCAAUCAGAGCAAUCUGUUCUUUUCAUUUCUGUUUGAGAUUGAAAAUUUUACGCAUUUAUUUUGUUACACAGAAUUUGUUUUUUUCUGACUGUUGCACCUUUUGAACGAUGCAGAUAUCUAUAUUAAUAAAAUGUGUCAAACCCCUAUUAAAGAUACCAAUUAUUAUGUUUCAGUACGCUAGACGCUCAUAUCGGCUACAUAAGACUCAUCAGUAGCGUUCGAAUCAAAAUAAUUAGAAGGUCGAAUCAAAUACGACGUUGAAGAGCUUUCUGUCAUGGUGUAAAUUCUGUGACUUUAUUUCAUAUUUUUUAUAACUGUUUUAUGUUGUUACAAACUGUCUCAAAUCCAUAUGUCGUAAUCUGCUUGAAGUACAAUUAGUAAAUAGAACUUAAGCAGUCGAUGUCAUUUUGGGAUAACGGAUAAGCUAACUUUAACAGUACAUUUUGUACUUGUAAAGAGACCAAUUUUUUUCAAAUUUAUAUUAAUUAGUGUCAUAUCAUAUUAGAACAAUUCAAAAUUUGUUAUAAAAAGAGACCUUAAGAAAAUAAAGUCAGUGAGGAUUUCCGAACGUUUUAAUACGGAACUCGUAUUGCUACUUUAAGGACUUUUCAGCGGACUGUGCCGUUGUUAUUAUUUUAUGGACUUCCAUAUGUAUCUUUGAUUUAUGUUAUUAUAUUGAUUUAGUUUGGAUUCAAUAAUAGAACAUUGGAAGUAUAAACUGUGUAUUUUUUAUUUAUGCAAAUCUUCCGCUAGUAAAACUACGAUACGUCAAUUGACCCCCAAAAAAUCCAAACAAUUGUACCAAAUAUGCUUAUUAUUGAUCAAACUGUUUUUAUAUUCACAAUUCUUUUUUUUUUUUUUUUUUUUUUUUUUUCAUCUUUAUUUCUUUUGAUUUACAACAGAGUAGUACAUGUUCCGUCUUCAAAUUAAAAGUGGGAAGAAUGCGUGCUUUCGUCAUUAUGGAAGAGAUUGUAACAGGAAAGGUUCUUUGCUUAGAAUAUUUCAAUGAUUGUUGUGCAAAGUUUAUUCAUCCAACAAAUUAUGCAGCUGACCAUAACUACAUCGAUCACAUGGAGGAAAAAUUCAGAUUCGAGAGGGAUUCCGUAACUUGUUUAAAACAAUAAAUUCUAACUUUACUAUUUAUGGUCUAACGAUGAUCUCAGAAAGAGGAUUGUCUCCCCUGAAUACCAACGACGAAUGAACAAGAAGAGCACAAUACAACGUAUGAAAGUAGUAGAGGCUAAUGUGUUUAUUUUCCUGUUUACUAUUGCUUGUUUAAAAAAGGAAAUAAAGGUGAAAACAUUAUUGU
This 3772-nucleotide long non-coding RNA is filed under the name Mytilus galloprovincialis (Mediterranean mussel). The record is from RNAcentral. Lineage: Eukaryota; Metazoa; Mollusca; Bivalvia; Mytilida; Mytilidae.